This 320-nucleotide ribosomal RNA is filed under the name uncultured bacterium. Its description in RNAcentral is "bacterial SSU rRNA". It matches the Rfam family "Bacterial small subunit ribosomal RNA", at positions 37 to 358 of the family's 1533-position model. The record is from RNAcentral.
UGGCGGCAUGCUUUACACAUGCAAGUCGAACGGUAACAGGGAGCUUGCUCCGCUGACGAGUGGCGAACGGGUGAGUAAUGCAUCGGAACGUACCCAGUCGUGGGGGAUAACGUAGCGAAAGUUACGCUAAUACCGCAUACGUCCUGAGGGAGAAAGCGGGGGACCGUAAGGCCUCGCGCGAUUGGAGCGGCCGAUGUCGGAUUAGCUAGUUGGUAGGGUAAAGGCCUACCAAGGCGACGAUCCGUAGCGGGUCUGAGAGGAUGAUCCGCCACACUGGGACUGAGACACGGCCCAGACUCCUACGGGAGGCAGCAAGGGCG